AGUGAACGCUGGCGGCAGGCCUAACACAUGCAAGUCGAACGGCAGCACGGCAGUAGCAAUACUGUGGGUGGCGAGUGGCGGACGGGUGAGGAAUACAUCGGAAUCUGCCUAGUCGUGGGGGAUAACGUAGGGAAACUUACGCUAAUACCGCAUACGACCUACGGGUGAAAGCGGGGGAUCGCAAGACCUCGCGCGAUUAGAUGAGCCGAUGUCCGAUUAGCUAGUUGGCGGGGUAAUGGCCCACCAAGGCGACGAUCGGUAGCUGGUCUGAGAGGAUGAUCAGCCACACUGGAACUGAGACACGGUCCAGACUCCUACGGGAGGCAGCAGUGGGGAAUAUUGGACAAUGGGCGCAAGCCUGAUCCAGCCAUGCCGCGUGGGUGAAGAAGGCCUCGGUUGUAAG
RNAcentral lists this ribosomal RNA (403 nucleotides) under uncultured bacterium. RNAcentral describes it as "bacterial SSU rRNA". It matches the Rfam family "Bacterial small subunit ribosomal RNA", at positions 29 to 429 of the family's 1533-position model. The record is from RNAcentral.